GAUGAACGCUGGCGGCGUGCCUAAUACAUGCAGGUCGAGCGAACGGACGAGAAGCUUGCUUCUCUGAUGUUAGCGGCGGACGGGUGAGUAACACGUGGAUAACCUACCUAUAAGACUGGGAUAACUUCGGGAAACCGGAGCUAAUACCGGAUAAUAUUUUGAACCGCAUGGUUCAAAAGUGAAAGACGGUUUUGCUGUCACUUAUAGAUGGAUCCGCUCUGCAUUAGCUAGUUGGUAAGGUAACGGCUUACCAAGGCAACGAUGCAUAGCGGACCUGAGAGGGUGAUCGGCCACACUGGAACUGAGACACGGUCCAGACUCCUACGGGAGGCAGCAGUGGGGAAUCUUGCGCAAUGGGCGCAAGCCUGACGCAGCAACGCCGCGUGAGUGAUGAAGGCCUUCGGAUCGUAAAACUCUGUUAUUAGGGAAGAACAGAUGUGUAAGAAAAUGUGCACAUAUUGACGGUACCUAAUGAGAAAGCCACGGCUAACUACGUG
RNAcentral lists this ribosomal RNA (497 nucleotides) under uncultured bacterium. Its description in RNAcentral is "partial 16S ribosomal RNA". It matches the Rfam family "Bacterial small subunit ribosomal RNA", at positions 28 to 507 of the family's 1533-position model. The record is from RNAcentral.